This 524-nucleotide ribosomal RNA is filed under the name uncultured bacterium. Its description in RNAcentral is "bacterial SSU rRNA". It matches the Rfam family "Bacterial small subunit ribosomal RNA", at positions 355 to 895 of the family's 1533-position model. The record is from RNAcentral.
UGGGGAAUAUUGGACAAUGGGGGAAACCCUGAUCCAGCGACGCCGCGUGAGUGAAGAAGUAUUUCGGUAUGUAAAGCUCUAUCAGCAGGGAAGAAAAUGACGGUACCUGACUAAGAAGCCCCGGCUAACUACGUGCCAGCAGCCGCGGUAAUACGUAGGGGGCAAGCGUUAUCCGGAUUUACUGGGUGUAAAGGGAGCGCAGACGGCGAAGCAAGUCUGAAGUGAAAUGCAUGGGCUCAACCCAUGAAUUGCUUUGGAAACUGUUUGGCUUGAGUGUCGGAGGGGUAAGCGGAAUUCCUAGUGUAGCGGUGAAAUGCGUAGAUAUUAGGAGGAACACCGGAGGCGAAGGCGGCUUACUGGACGACAACUGACGUUGAGGCUCGAAGGCGUGGGGAGCAAACAGGAUUAGAUACCCUGGUAGUCCACGCAGUAAACGAUGAAUACUUGGUGUCGGGGAGGUAAACUCUUCGGUGCCGCAAGCAAACGCAUUAAGUAUUCCACCUGGGGAGUACGUUCGCAAGAAU